This 497-nucleotide ribosomal RNA is filed under the name uncultured bacterium. RNAcentral's name for it is "partial 16S ribosomal RNA". It matches the Rfam family "Bacterial small subunit ribosomal RNA", at positions 28 to 507 of the family's 1533-position model. The record is from RNAcentral.
GAUGAACGCUGGCGGCGUGCCUAAUACAUGCAAGUCGAGCGAACAGACGAGGAGCUUGCUCCUCUGAUGUUAGCGGCGGACGGGUGAGUAACACGUGGAUAACCUACCUAUAAGACUGGGAUAACUUCGGGAAACCGGAGCUAAUACCGGAUAACAUGUUGAACCGCAUGGUUCAACAGUGAAAGACGGUCUUGCUGUCACUUAUAGAUGGAUCCGCGCCGCAUUAGCUAGUUGGUAAGGUAACGGCUUACCAAGGCAACGAUGCGUAGCCGACCUGAGAGGGUGAUCGGCCACACUGGAACUGAGACACGGUCCAGACUCCUACGGGAGGCAGCAGUAGGGAAUCUUCCGCAAUGGGCGAAAGCCUGCCGGAGCAACGCCGCGUGAGUGAAGAAGGUCUUCGGAUCGUAAAACUCUGUUAUUAGGGAAGAACAAAUGUGUAAGUAACUAUGCACGUCUUGACGGUACCUAAUCAGAAAGCCACGGCUAACUACGUG